GACUCUCGGCAACGGAUAUCUCGGCUCUUGCAUCGAUGAAGAACGUAGCGAAAUGCGAUACUUGGUGUGAAUUGCAGAAUCCCGUGAACCAUCGAGUCUUUGAAUGCAAGUUGCGCCCGAAGCCAAUAGGCCGAGGGCACGCCUGCCUGGGUGUUG
This 156-nucleotide ribosomal RNA is filed under the name Lupinus angustifolius (narrow-leaved blue lupine). RNAcentral's name for it is "rRNA 5_8S_rRNA". It matches the Rfam family "5.8S ribosomal RNA". Rfam says of the family: 5.8S ribosomal RNA (5.8S rRNA) is a component of the large subunit of the eukaryotic ribosome. It is transcribed by RNA polymerase I as part of the 45S precursor that also contains 18S and 28S rRNA. The record is from RNAcentral. Lineage: Eukaryota; Viridiplantae; Streptophyta; Magnoliopsida; Fabales; Fabaceae.